RNAcentral lists this ribosomal RNA (253 nucleotides) under uncultured bacterium. RNAcentral's name for it is "partial 16S ribosomal RNA". It matches the Rfam family "Bacterial small subunit ribosomal RNA", at positions 524 to 776 of the family's 1533-position model. The record is from RNAcentral.
UACGGAGGGUGCGAGCGUUGUCCGGAAUUACUGGGCGUAAAGCGCACGUAGGCGGCUUUGCAAGUUAGAGGUGAAAGCCCGGGGCUCAACUCCGGAAUUGCCUUUAAAACUGCAUCGCUAGAAUUGUGGAGAGGUAAGUGGAAUUCCGAGUGUAGAGGUGAAAUUCGUAGAUAUUCGGAAGAACACCAGUGGCGAAGGCGACUUACUGGACACAUAUUGACGCUGAGGUGCGAAAGCGUGGGGAGCAAACAGG